Molecule: ribosomal RNA, 463 nt
Filed under: uncultured Klebsiella sp.
Lineage: Bacteria; Pseudomonadati; Pseudomonadota; Gammaproteobacteria; Enterobacterales; Enterobacteriaceae
Description: bacterial SSU rRNA
Rfam family: Bacterial small subunit ribosomal RNA
Source: RNAcentral
CUACGGGCGGCAGCAGUGGGGAAUAUUGCACAAUGGGCGCAAGCCUGAUGCCGCCAUGCCGCGUGUGUGAAGAAGGCCUUCGGGUUGUAAAGCACUUUCAGCGGGGAGGAAGGCGGUGAGGUUAAUAACCUCAUCGAUUGACGUUACCCGCAGAAGAAGCACCGGCUAACCCGUGCCAGCAGCCGCGGUAAUACGGAGGGUGCAAGCGUUAAUCGGAAUUACUGGGCGUAAAGCGCACGCAGGCGGUCUGUCAAGUCGGAUGUGAAAUCCCCGGGCUCAACCUGGGAACUGCAUUCGAAACUGGCAGGCUAGAGUCUUGUAGAGGGGGGUAGAAUUCCAGGUGUAGCGGUGAAAUGCGUAGAGAUCUGGAGGAAUACCGGUGGCGAAGGCGGCCCCCUGGACAAAGACUGACGCUCAGGUGUGAAAGCGUGGGGAGCAAACAGGAUUAGAUACCCCUGUAGUC